AGAUAUUAUGUUAGAGGCGACAUCUGCUACCGAAAAUGAAGGAAAUGCACGAAAUAAAAGAGCGAUAGAGUUACGUAGUAGCUGCCUUGAUGUUUGCCUGUCACGUAGGAUCACAGAGGAUCGGAGGAUCGGAUCUCGUUCGAAUCAUCAUUGAUGAAACCCACAAAAUUAACAGGAAGCGAAAUGGAAACCAAAAACGAAACCUUUAAGAAGUUCUUUCUGGAGCGGGAGGGAGACCACGCACCACGACAUGUGAUGUGUAAUUCAAUCAAGCAAUGAUUCAGUUUCAAUAUGUGCUGCCACUCGAAGUAAACCCCCGAAAAAGCCGCUUAAUGUUUGAGCUCAA
Drosophila obscura is the source of this 346-nucleotide long non-coding RNA. RefSeq lists it as uncharacterized. The record is from RefSeq and is a predicted model, not a curated record. The transcript has 2 exons. NCBI's taxonomy places the organism in Eukaryota, Metazoa, Arthropoda, Insecta, Diptera, Drosophilidae.